AACUGUCUUGUGAAAAAGCCUAAAUUUAGUUUUGGUUUUCUGCAUGUCUUAUUUAGGAAAAUUCCUCUUUACUAAAAUUCUACAGUUUCAUACCAUCAUAUUCUAUUCUAUUAUGCAUUACAUUUAUAUUUCCUAUUCAACUUCAAAUGGUUUGGGGCAAGUGCUCUAUGCUAUUAAACUUUGCAUGAAGACACAUUGUUUUUUCUUUUCCAGAGUUCAGUGUCUCCUCCAUCAAAAAGUAAUAUAUAAAUGAGUAACAAACAGGGUCCUUUUGUGGUUUUCCAAAUUCAUUAAAGGGAAUACUUUUUUUCUUUAAAGAAAA
Molecule: long non-coding RNA, 322 nt
Filed under: Chinchilla lanigera (long-tailed chinchilla)
Lineage: Eukaryota; Metazoa; Chordata; Mammalia; Rodentia; Chinchillidae
Description: lncRNA (ENSCLAG00000025351.1)
Source: RNAcentral